GAUGAACGCUGGCGGCGUGCCUAAUACAUGCAAGUCGAGCGAACAGACGAGGAGCUUGCUCCUCUGACGUUAGCGGCGGACGGGUGAGUAACACGUGGAUAACCUACCUAUAAGACUGGGAUAACUUCGGGAAACCGGAGCUAAUACCGGAUAAUAUAUUGAACCGCAUGGUUCAUUAGUGAAAGACGGUUUUGCUGUCACUUAUAGAUGGAUCCGCGCCGCAUUAGCUAGUUGGUAAGGUAACGGCUUACCAAGGCGACGAUGCGUAGCCGACCUGAGAGGGUGAUCGGCCACACUGGAACUGAGAGACGGUCCAGACUCCUACGGGAGGCAGCAGUAGGGAAUCUUCCGCAAUGGGCGAAAGCCUGACGGAGCAACGCCGCGUGAGUGAUGAAGGUCUUCGGAUCGUAAAACUCUGUUAUUAGGGAAGAACAAAUGUGUAAGUAACUAUGCACGUCUUGACGGUACCUAGUCAGAAAGCCACGGCUAACUACGUG
Molecule: ribosomal RNA, 497 nt
Filed under: uncultured bacterium
Lineage: Bacteria
Description: partial 16S ribosomal RNA
Rfam family: Bacterial small subunit ribosomal RNA
Source: RNAcentral